AAAGUUCCCUUCGGGGAGCAAGUAGAGUGGCGCACGGGUGAGUAACACGUAGGUAAUCUACCUUUGGAUUGGGAAUAACAACCGGAAACGGUUGCUAAUACCGAAUAAUGCAGCGGCACCUAAUGGUGACAGUUGUUAAAGCGGGGGAUCGCAAGACCUCGCGUCUGAAGAGGAGCCUGCGGCAGAUUAGCUAGUUGGUAGGGUAACGGCUUACCAAGGCUAUGAUCUGUAGCCGGCCUGAGAGGGCGGUCGGCCACACUGACACUGACAUACGGGUCAGACUCCUACGGGAGGCAGCAGUCGGGAAUUUUGGGCAAUGGGCGAAAGCCUGACCCAGCAACGCCGCGUGAAGGAUGAAAUCCUUCGGGAUGUAAACUUCGCAAGAACGGGAAGAAUAAGCCGGUGCAAAUAUCACCGGCGAUGACGGUACUGUUUGUAAGCUCCGGCUAACUCCGUGCCAGCAGCCGCGGUAAUACGGGGGGAGCAAGCGUUGUUCGGAUUUACUGGGCGUAAAGGGCGCGUAGGCGGCCACCGCAAGUCAGUUGUGAAAUCUCUGGGCUUAACCCAGAAAGGUCAACUGAUACUGCGGGGCUAGAGUGCAGAAGGGGCAACUGGAAUUCUCGGUGUAGCGGUGAAAUGCGUAGAUAUCGAGAGGAACACCUGCGGCGAAGGCGGGUUGCUGGGCUGACACUGACGCUGAGGCGCGAAAGCUAGGGGAGCGAACGGGAUUAGAUACCCCGGUAGUCCUAGCCUUAAACGAUGAAUGCUUGGUGUCUGGGGUUUUAUAGUCCCCGGGUGCCGUCGCUAACGCUUUAAGCAUUCCGCCUGGGGAGUACGGUCGCAAGACUGAAACUC
RNAcentral lists this ribosomal RNA (855 nucleotides) under uncultured Bacillota bacterium. Its description in RNAcentral is "bacterial SSU rRNA". It matches the Rfam family "Bacterial small subunit ribosomal RNA", at positions 70 to 902 of the family's 1533-position model. The record is from RNAcentral. Lineage: Bacteria; Bacillati; Bacillota.